CAUUACGUUACGACAAGCAUUAGAUGUCUGAUGCCAGAAUUUCUCUCAAUUCACUCCCAAACACAUUUAUAAUACAUUUCUCAACCACCUGACGCACAUCUAACAACAACACCAUCCUUUAUAAAGACAUUUCCAAUAUCAGAUGACAUUGGCAUAACUGAAGAUACAUUCUCAUUAUUUAUCAUCUUUUAAAGACCAAAAUGGAAAUAUUGUACAGAACAGAUAUAUAAGAUUGUUUCUAUAAAUCUGUGGUGGAAUUCCUCUGAUAUAUUUACUCCGAAAUGUGUUAUUAGCAAACCUUCUGGACAUCACUGACUGGAGUGUCUGCAAGAUGAGUCUUUAUGUAAAUUAAACUUGGAUAAAUUUACUAAAGAGCUUUGGGACAAAGGUAACACUGGACAGAAAUACAGCAGUCGAAAUAUUUGGAAACAAAAGACUAUAGAAGCAAGCAAGAAGAAAAAAAUAUAUAUAUAUAUAUAUAUAUAUUGUGAUUUUCCAUGAAAAAUAAUGG
This is a long non-coding RNA of Octopus sinensis (East Asian common octopus), 511 nucleotides long. RefSeq lists it as uncharacterized. Lineage: Eukaryota; Metazoa; Mollusca; Cephalopoda; Octopoda; Octopodidae. The transcript has 2 exons. The record is from RefSeq and is a predicted model, not a curated record.